RNAcentral lists this long non-coding RNA (412 nucleotides) under Marmota monax (woodchuck). Lineage: Eukaryota; Metazoa; Chordata; Mammalia; Rodentia; Sciuridae. The record is from RNAcentral.
CAUUCUUUGAAUUUUUGAUUUGACAGGUGGUAAUUUCUUUAGGGUUGGGUUAAUGACAUAGAGUCUAAAGUGAUAUAUCACUAACUUUGAUGUGUGAUUUUGUGAUAUCUUGGUAAUAUUGAUUCACUGAGGUAUUUAGCUCUUCCAAGUGUCAAAACACUUCAGUAUAUAAUAUCAAACAAGUAUAAAAGAACAUUCAUUAAUACAGUCUCAUCAGGAAAAAUGAUUGGAUGUUAAAAGCUUAAAGUUAUCUAAAUGAAGAAUUUCACUUGAAUGCUAUUUUUUUUAAUUCUACAUCAUGUACAACCAGAAGGAUGAGAAAUUAUACUCCAACUAUGUAAGAUGUAUCAAAGUGCAUUCUACUGUCAUGUGUAACUGAUUAGAAUAAAUAAAGGAAAGAAAAAAUACUGCC